Molecule: ribosomal RNA, 443 nt
Filed under: uncultured bacterium
Lineage: Bacteria
Description: partial 16S ribosomal RNA
Rfam family: Bacterial small subunit ribosomal RNA
Source: RNAcentral
AAAAGAAGAUCAAGAAGAGCUUCAGAAUGAAGCUUUCUUGGUGGAGGGGAGCGGCAGACGGGUGAGUAACACGUGGGAACAUACCCAUCUCUGCGGAACAACUCCGGGAAACUGGAGCUAAUACCGCAUACGCCCUUCGGGGGAAAGAUUUAUCGGAGAUGGAUUGGCCCGCGUUGGAUUAGCUAGUUGGUGGGGUAAAGGCCUACCAAGGCGACGAUCCAUAGCUGGUCUGAGAGGAUGAUCAGCCACAUUGGGACUGAGACACGGCCCAAACUCCUACGGGAGGCAGCAGUGGGGAAUAUUGGACAAUGGGCGCAAGCCUGAUCCAGCCAUGCCGCGUGAGUGAUGAAGGCCUUAGGGUUGUAAAGCUCUUUCACCGAUGAAGAUAAUGACGGUAGUCGGAGAAGAAGCCCCGGCUAACUUCGUGCCAGCCGCCGCAGUAA